GGGGAGGUGGCUCAGUGGUAGAGCGCUUGCCCUACAUGCCUGAGGCCCUGGGUUCGAUUCCCCAGCACCACUU
Molecule: non-coding RNA, 73 nt
Organism: Dipodomys ordii (Ord's kangaroo rat)
Lineage: Eukaryota; Metazoa; Chordata; Mammalia; Rodentia; Heteromyidae
Source: Rfam